GGGUUGUGAGGUUAAGCGAACAAGCGUACACGGUGGAUGCCCUGGCAGUCAGAGGCGAUGAAGGACGUGCUAAUCUGCGAAAAGCGCCGGUAAGGUGAUAUGAACCGUUAUAGCCGGCGAUGUCCGAAUGGGGAAACCCAGUGUGAUUCGUCACACUAUCUCAGCAUGAAUACAUAGUGCUGUGAGGCGAACCGGGGGAACUGAAACAUCUAAGUACCCCGAGGAAAAGAAAUCAACCGAGAUUCCCCCAGUAGCGGCGAGCGAACGGGGAACAGCCCAGAGCCUGAAUCAGCUUGUGUGUCAGUGGAACGGUCUGGAAAGGCCGGCGAUACAGGGUGACAGCCCCGUACACGAAGGCACACAGGCUGUGAGCUCGAUGAGUAGGGCGGGACACGUGAUAUCCUGUCUGAAGAUGGGGGGACCAUCCUCCAAGGCUAAAUACUCCUGACUGACCGAUAGUGAACCAGUACCGUGAGGGAAAGGCGAAAAGAACCCCGGCGAGGGGAGUGAAACAGAACCUGAAACCGUGUACGUACAAGCAGUGGGAGCCUUCGUAAGAGGGUGACUGCGUACCUUUUGUAUAAUGGGUCAGCGACUUAUAUUCUGUAGCAAGGUUAACCGUAUAGGGGAGCCGAAGGGAAACCGAGUCUUAAUUGGGCGUUAAGUUGCAGGGUAUAGACCCGAAACCCGGUGAUCUAGCCAUGGGCAGGUUGAAGGUUGGGUAACACUAACUGGAGGACCGAACCGACUAAUGUUGAAAAAUUAGCGGAUGACCUGUGGCUGGGGGUGAAAGGCCAAUCAAACCGGGAGAUAGCUGGUUCUCCCCGAAAGCUAUUUAGGUAGCGCCUCGUGAACUCAUCUUCGGGGGUAGAGCACUGUUUCGGCUAGGGGGCCAUCCCGGCUUACCAACCCGAUGCAAACUACGAAUACCGAAGAAUGUUAUCACGGGAGACACACGGCGGGUGCUAACGUCCGUCGUGAAGAGGGAAACAACCCAGACCGCCAGCUAAGGUCCCAAAGUCAUGGUUAAGUGGGAAACGAUGUGGGAAGGCACAGACAGCCAGGAUGUUGGCUUAGAAGCAGCCAUCAUUUAAAGAAAGCGUAAUAGCUCACUGGUCGAGUCGGCCUGCGCGGAAGAUGUAACGGGGCUAAACCAUGCACCGAAGCUGCGGCAGCGACACUAUGUGUUGUUGGGUAGGGGAGCGUUCUGUAAGCCUGUGAAGGUGUGCUGUGAGGCAUGCUGGAGGUAUCAGAAGUGCGAAUGCUGACAUAAGUAACGAUAAAGCGGGUGAAAAGCCCGCUCGCCGGAAGACCAAGGGUUCCUGUCCAACGUUAAUCGGGGCAGGGUGAGUCGACCCCUAAGGCGAGGCCGAAAGGCGUAGUCGAUGGGAAACAGGUUAAUAUUCCUGUACUUGGUGUUACUGCGAAGGGGGGACGGAGAAGGCUAUGUUGGCCGGGCGACGGUUGUCCCGGUUUAAGCGUGUAGGUGUGUGUUCCAGGUAAAUCCGGUUCACUUUAACACUGAGGCGUGAUGACGAGGCACUACGGUGCUGAAGUAACAAAUGCCCUGCUUCCAGGAAAAGCCUCUAAGCAUCAGGUAACACGAAAUCGUACCCCAAACCGACACAGGUGGUCAGGUAGAGAAUACCAAGGCGCUUGAGAGAACUCGGGUGAAGGAACUAGGCAAAAUGGUGCCGUAACUUCGGGAGAAGGCACGCUGACAUGUAGGUGAAGCCCCUGCGGGUGGAGCUGAAGUCAGUCGAAGAUACCAGCUGGCUGCAACUGUUUAUUAAAAACACAGCACUGUGCAAACACGAAAGUGGACGUAUACGGUGUGACGCCUGCCCGGUGCCGGAAGGUUAAUUGAUGGGGUUAUCGCAAGAGAAGCUCCUGAUCGAAGCCCCGGUAAACGGCGGCCGUAACUAUAACGGUCCUAAGGUAGCGAAAUUCCUUGUCGGGUAAGUUCCGACCUGCACGAAUGGCGUAAUGAUGGCCAGGCUGUCUCCACCCGAGACUCAGUGAAAUUGAACUCGCUGUGAAGAUGCAGUGUACCCGCGGCAAGACGGAAAGACCCCGUGAACCUUUACUACAGCUUGACACUGAACAUUGAGCCUUGAUGUGUAGGAUAGGUGGGAGGCUUUGAAGCGUGGACGCCAGUCUGCGUGGAGCCAACCUUGAAAUACCACCCUUUAAUGUUUGAUGUUCUAACCUGGCGCCAUAAUCUGGCGUGGGGACAGUGUCUGGUGGGUAGUUUGACUGGGGCGGUCUCCUCCCAAAGUGUAACGGAGGAGCACGAAGGUCAGCUAAUCCUGGUCGGACAUCAGGAGGUUAGUGCAAUGGCAUAAGCUGGCUUGACUGCGAGAGUGACGGCUCGAGCAGGUGCGAAAGCAGGUCAUAGUGAUCCGGUGGUUCUGUAUGGAAGGGCCAUCGCUCAACGGAUAAAAGGUACUCCGGGGAUAACAGGCUGAUACCGCCCAAGAGUUCAUAUCGACGGCGGUGUUUGGCACCUCGAUGUCGGCUCAUCACAUCCUGGGGCUGAAGUAGGUCCCAAGGGUAUGGCUGUUCGCCAUUUAAAGUGGUACGCGAGCUGGGUUUAGAACGUCGUGAGACAGUUCGGUCCCUAUCUGCCGUGGGCGCUGGAGAAUUGAGGGGGGCUGCUCCCAGUACGAGAGGACCGGAGUGGACGCAUCACUGGUGUUCGGGUUGUCAUGCCAAUGGCACUGCCCGGUAGCUAAAUGCGGAAGAGAUAAGUGCUGAAAGCAUCUAAGCACGAAACUUGCCCCGAGAUGAGUUCUCCCUGAGACUAUAAGUCUCCUGAAGGAACGUUGAAGACGACGACGUUGAUAGGCCGGGUGUGUAAGCGCAGCGAUGCGUUGAGCUAACCGGUACUAAUGAACCGUGAGGCUUAACCUUACAACGCCAAAGAAGU
Molecule: ribosomal RNA, 2929 nt
Filed under: Cronobacter dublinensis subsp. dublinensis LMG 23823
Lineage: Bacteria; Pseudomonadati; Pseudomonadota; Gammaproteobacteria; Enterobacterales; Enterobacteriaceae
Description: bacterial LSU rRNA
Rfam family: Bacterial large subunit ribosomal RNA
Source: RNAcentral